AGUGGCGGACGGGUGAGUAACACGUGAGGAACCUGCCCUUGAGAGUGGGAUAGCUUCUGGAAACGGAUGGUAAUACCGCAUAACAUAGCGAAACCGCAUGAUUUUGCUAUCAAAGUAUUUCGCUCAGAGAUGGCCUCGCGUCUGAUUAGAUAGUUGGUGAGGUAACGGCUCACCAAGUCGACGAUCAGUAGCCGGACUGAGAGGUUGAACGGCCACAUUGGGACUGAGACACGGCCCAGACUCCUACGGGAGGCAGCAGUGGGGGAUAUUGCACAAUGGGGGAAACCCUGAUGCAGCGAUGCCGCGUGGAGGAAGAAGGUUUUCGGAUUGUAAACUCCUGUCGUAAGGGAAGAGAAAGGACUGUACCUUACAAGAAAGCUCCGGCUAACUACGUGCCAGCAGCCGCGGUAAUACGUAGGGAGCGAGCGUUGUCCGGAAUGACUGGGUGUAAAGGGAGCGUAGGCGGGAUGGCAAGUCAGAUGUGAAACCUGAGGGCUCAACCUUCAGACUGCAUUUGAAACUGCUGUUCUUGAGUGAAGUAGAGGUAAGCGGAAUUCCUGGUGUAGCGGUGAAAUGCGUAGAGAUCAGGAGGAACAUCGGUGGCGAAGGCGGCUUACUGGGCUUUUACUGACGCUGAGGCUCGAAAGCGUGGGGAGCAAACAGGAUUAGAUACCCUGGUAGUCCACGCUGUAAACGAUGAUUACUAGGUGUGGGGGGAUUGACCCCUUCCGUGCCGCAGUUAACACAAUAAGUAAUCCACCUGGGGAGUA
This 770-nucleotide ribosomal RNA is filed under the name uncultured bacterium. RNAcentral's name for it is "bacterial SSU rRNA". It matches the Rfam family "Bacterial small subunit ribosomal RNA", at positions 94 to 882 of the family's 1533-position model. The record is from RNAcentral.